UCGCCAUUGCCGGAGCGUCUCUGGAGCCCCGGGAGCGGCGACAGUGACUGCAGCUCGGUGAGGCGGCGGCGGAGCUCGGAGGCGGCCCCAGCGCAGCGUUUGCUGAGHGGAGGCUCCGCCUCGGAGGGGAUUCCUUGGGGCUCGGUGACAGCCACAGGAGCGUCGCUUCUCUGUCGCCACCGAUCUGCGGGGAGCAGGGACAGGGCAGGGCUGAGCCGGCAGCGCCUUCCUCAGCCCGGACCAGCCGGGAUCUCGCAUCACGGUCCUUUCAGCCUGCGAUCGUCAUUGUAAAACUGUGCCCGAGGCUGAACUCCAAAAGGCUUUCUCAGCACUGCUGAUGCUCCCCGAGCCAGCUGCCCUUUAUGCCAAGAACGAUCUCAGCUGUGAGCUGGAGAAGAGUGAAUUGUCUUCCGUUCAUGGGGUUGUGAAGGAGCGUCCCCAAGAUGCACCAGCAGCUGAGGUUACACUCUUGCAUCGGGCACAAGAAGCCACUUGUGACAAGCAGGGAAGUGUCGCUUGUGCAGUGAAUGAAGAUGUGGAGAAUGGGUUCUGCACCAGAAACGGGAGAGUGAAGGAGCCCCAUGGUCCCCCGGGCAGCUCAGCAACCUGGAAUAAACAGAAACGAACCCUCAGAGGAUGUCUGUCUGCAGUCGAGUGGAUCAGAUCCCAUCCCAAAAUCACCCU
Malurus melanocephalus (red-backed fairy wren) is the source of this 684-nucleotide long non-coding RNA. RefSeq lists it as uncharacterized. NCBI's taxonomy places the organism in Eukaryota, Metazoa, Chordata, Aves, Passeriformes, Maluridae. The record is from RefSeq and is a predicted model, not a curated record. The transcript is spliced from 3 exons.